This is a long non-coding RNA of Vidua chalybeata, 254 nucleotides long. RefSeq lists it as uncharacterized. The record is from RefSeq and is a predicted model, not a curated record. NCBI's taxonomy places the organism in Eukaryota, Metazoa, Chordata, Aves, Passeriformes, Viduidae. The transcript is spliced from 3 exons.
GGCAGGAGACCAUUGGAGGCUCAGAAGGGACAAAGCCCCUCUACUUUAAUACCACUGGCACAAAGUGGGAAUGCCUUGCACUUUCUCAGGAAAUCUCUAAACAGUAAUGUAAGAAAACUUUAGAUGGAGAUGUUCAGACUUUGGUAAGAAAUCCCACAGCCUGGUUAGAAAGAAUUUCAGACUGGAGAACUUGGAAGGGUUAUGCCAGUAUCCCUGUUUGAGGAUAUCUCUCUGAUGUCUGAUCCUGAUGCAGU